RNAcentral lists this unclassified non-coding RNA (386 nucleotides) under fungal sp. Its description in RNAcentral is "partial internal transcribed spacer region". The stretch from base 1 to 46 matches the Rfam family "Eukaryotic small subunit ribosomal RNA", at positions 1786 to 1831 of the family's 1831-position model. The record is from RNAcentral. Lineage: Eukaryota; Fungi.
AAGUCGUAACAAGGUUUCCGUAGGUGAACCUGCGGAAGGAUCAUUAACACGUAUCCACGUAUCAACCAAUGAGAACUUGUUUUCCCGUCUCCCUGUGCAAAGAAUGAAUUGGAACCAGUUUGAGGGAGUGAUGGGACCGAAAGGUCGGCCUUCCUGGUAUACUUAUGCAGACAGAAAUGUUUGUGUAGACAAUUGAAUUUUUGUUACAGGCUAUUCCUUAUCGCUUUGAUCCCCAUCAUGAUCGUGGCGGUAAGGAAACUUUCACUUUAUUUACCUUUUUUGCUAGUUGACUUUUUAUAUGUGUUGUCUUGCGAAAGCAUGGUGGCACACGUUUAUUAAUUGAACGUUAAAAAAUACAACUCUUAGCAAUGGAUAUCUUGGUUCUC